AAAAAUACGUCCUUUAUUUAUGAUAAAAAUGCAAGUGUCACAUAGAUGGGCCCUACAAUGAGUCAUUACGCCCUGGGCGGAACGUAAGACUUGGAUAUGCAUGAAUAAACAAAGAAAAUUACUCUUCAAGAAGAGUGACUUGGAUAAUCUCUUCAGAAGACCAAUUGUUGAGAACUUCACCCGGGAUCCUCGGACGCACCCAGUUGUCAAUGUCACA
RNAcentral lists this long non-coding RNA (217 nucleotides) under Lathyrus oleraceus (garden pea). RNAcentral describes it as "Pisum sativum (pea) long non-coding RNA (PSAT_LNC028159)". Lineage: Eukaryota; Viridiplantae; Streptophyta; Magnoliopsida; Fabales; Fabaceae. The record is from RNAcentral.